RNAcentral lists this ribosomal RNA (209 nucleotides) under Salmonella enterica. RNAcentral's name for it is "partial 23S ribosomal RNA". It matches the Rfam family "Bacterial large subunit ribosomal RNA", at positions 1 to 210 of the family's 2925-position model. RNAcentral also lists the same sequence under 2 other names. The record is from RNAcentral. Lineage: Bacteria; Pseudomonadati; Pseudomonadota; Gammaproteobacteria; Enterobacterales; Enterobacteriaceae.
GGUUAAGCGACUAAGCGUACACGGUGGAUGCCCUGGCAGUCAGAGGCGAUGAAGGGCGUGCUAAUCUGCGAUAAGCGCCGGUAAGGUGAUAUGAACCGUUAUAACCGGCGAUACCCGAAUGGGGAAACCCAGUGUGAUUCGUCACACUAUCAUUAACUGAAUCCAUAGGUUAAUGAGGCGAACCGGGGGAACUGAAACAUCUAAGUACC